AUACGGAGGAUCCGAGCGUUAUCCGGAUUUAUUGGGUUUAAAGGGAGCGUAGGUGGACAGUUAAGUCAGUUGUGAAAGUUUGCGCCUCAACCGUAAAAUUGCAGUUGAUAUUGGCUGUCUUGAGUACAGUAGAGGUGGGCGGAAUUCGUGGUGUAGCGGUGAAAUGCUUAGAUAUGACGAAGAACACCGAUUGCGUAGGCAGCUGACCAGACCGCAAAUGACGCUCAUGCACGAAAGUGCGGCGAUCGAACAGGAUUAGAUACCCUGGUAGUCCGCACAGUAAACGAUGAAUACUUGUUUUCGGCGAUAUAAUGUCGGAGGUAAAGCGAAAGCGAUAAGGAUUCCUCCUGGGGAGUACGCCGGCAACGGUGAAACUCAAAUGAAUUGACGGGG
This 393-nucleotide ribosomal RNA is filed under the name uncultured bacterium. RNAcentral's name for it is "partial 16S ribosomal RNA". It matches the Rfam family "Bacterial small subunit ribosomal RNA", at positions 523 to 918 of the family's 1533-position model. The record is from RNAcentral.